UUUGACGGAGAGUUUGAUCCUGGCUCAGGACGAACGCUGGCGGCGUGCUUAACACAUGCAAGUCGAACGAUGAUGCCCAGCUUGCUGGGCGGAUUAGUGGCGAACGGGUGAGUAAUACGUGAGUAACCUGCCCUUGACUCUGGGAUAAGCCUGGGAAACUGGGUCUAAUAC
RNAcentral lists this ribosomal RNA (171 nucleotides) under Kocuria rosea. RNAcentral's name for it is "partial 16S ribosomal RNA". It matches the Rfam family "Bacterial small subunit ribosomal RNA", at positions 1 to 169 of the family's 1533-position model. The record is from RNAcentral. Lineage: Bacteria; Bacillati; Actinomycetota; Actinomycetes; Micrococcales; Micrococcaceae.